GACAGAGGGUGCAAACGUUGUUCGGAUUUACUGGGCGUAAAGCGCGUGUAGGCGGCUUGGCAAGUUGGAUGUGAAAGCCCACGGCUCAACCGUGGAAGCGCAUCCAAAACUGCUUCGCUCGAGUCUCGGAGAGGAAGGUGGAAUGCUUGGUGUAGAGGUGAAAUUCGUAGAUAUCAAGCAGAACACCUGCGGCGAAGGCGGCCUUCUGGACGAUGACUGGCGCUGAGACGCGAAAGCGUGGGGAGCAAACAGG
This 253-nucleotide ribosomal RNA is filed under the name uncultured bacterium. RNAcentral's name for it is "partial 16S ribosomal RNA". It matches the Rfam family "Bacterial small subunit ribosomal RNA", at positions 524 to 776 of the family's 1533-position model. The record is from RNAcentral.